This is a non-coding RNA of Nomascus leucogenys (northern white-cheeked gibbon), 537 nucleotides long. The record is from the annotation of a RefSeq genome assembly. Lineage: Eukaryota; Metazoa; Chordata; Mammalia; Primates; Hylobatidae.
CCUGGGAUUCCCAAGAGUUUCCACUUGGUGAUCAGCACUGAACACAGAAGACCAACCAUGGAGUUGGGGCUGAGCUGGGUUUUCCUUGUUGCUAUUUUAAAAGGUGUCCAGUGUGAGGUGCAGCUGGUGGAGUCUGGGGGAGGCUUGGUCCAGCCUGGGGGGUCUCUGAGACUCUCCUGUGCAGCCUCUGGAUUCACCUUCAGUAACAACUACAUGCACUGGGUCCGCCAGGCUCCAGGGAAGGGGCUGGAGUGGGUAGGUUUAAUUAGAAACAAAGCUGAUGGUGGGACAACAGACUACGCUGCAUCUGUGAAAGGCAGAUUCACCAUCUCAAGAGAUGAUUCCAAAAGCAUCGCCUAUCUGCAAAUGAACAGCCUGAAAACCGAGGACACGGCCGUGUAUUACUGUACCAGAGAGAUACAGCAGAUUAUUACUGUACCAGUGAGAGACACAGUGAGGGGAGGUCAGUGUGAGCCCAGACACAAACCUCCCUGCAGAGGCGCGCGGGGCCACCAGGGGGCGCUCGGGACCCACUGA